GCAGUGAACUUUAAACAACAACAAAAAAAUGAAUCUGCCUUUGUUUCACUCUGGCUCUGGGCUUGUGGGGAAACUCCAUGAGCAGAAGCUUGUGUGGCCCUCACCCCGUCAGAUGAGAGCUCACCACAGGGAUGAAGCUGAGGUUCCCGGAGGCCAGAUUCUCGGUCGUGUACACUGACAGACAAGCCUUCCCACCACUAAGAAAAGCCUCAGCCGCCUCACUGCCUCAGAUGCCUCUGAAUCCAGGACACAUGGCCAAGGACACUGCCCUCGCAGGCACAGAGGGCCUGCCUCAGCCAGCUUCUGUGUUGGCCUUGGGUGCUAGACUGUUCUGAGUCCUCCGCCGCCGCCCUCAGGCUCCUCUUUUGUUUCAGUCCGACUUCUCCCGGGUCCCAGUGAUCAGGCCUUACAGAGAGGGAAGAGCGUUAGAUUCACUCAAGGUGGGGUGGGGGGAGACUUUGCAAUUAAAUUGCUAAUUAAGGAACUACCAACCUGAAGAAGCUAAUUUGCACUGACCUAUUUAAAAUAUCUAGCAGCAGAUCAGGCAGGCAUUGAGGCACAACCCUUUUAUGCGUCAGCCAACUGGCUUUCUUUCAGAGCAGCGGCUAUCAAUAAUUCCAUGCUGAGGACCAUCUGAUAGGAAAUCAACCGCUGGCCCCUGGAAUGCCAGCAUUCCCCACUGCUCUGUUUUCCCAGUUGUCAGCUCUGUUUAUAAAUUGUCCAUUUAUAGCAAAUCCAGCACCUGCUAUGAACACCUCAUCCUGCCAAGUGUUGGAGUACGUCUCAGAAAGAGGCACUAUAGACUUUUUCAGUUCCUUUUAACCUUUUCCCGGUCCGGGAGUUUGAAUAUUUGCAUAGGAAUUCUGAGGGAGGACAUACUCUGUACAGAAAAGACUAGAUGAUCUAUUAAAAGUUAGCAUUUUGCUCUACUUUAAAAAAAAAAAAAAAAGGACAGCAAAGCAUCAUUCUCUUGGGAUACACAAUGCUCUCUUUCUGAACAAGUCUGACAUUGGGACACAUUUAAAAUAACCCCUAAAAAAAUUCCUCAGGGUAAAAAUGCUCUGGAGAAAACUCAGGGAAGGCUUUCUUUUUAACUCUAUUAUGUAGCUUUUUAGCUCGCUGUCAGCACAGCCGCUUAGCAGAUAAUGCUGCCUGCUGCUUGAACC
Molecule: long non-coding RNA, 1166 nt
Organism: Bos taurus (domestic cattle)
Lineage: Eukaryota; Metazoa; Chordata; Mammalia; Artiodactyla; Bovidae
Source: Ensembl